Molecule: long non-coding RNA, 862 nt
Organism: Monopterus albus (swamp eel)
Lineage: Eukaryota; Metazoa; Chordata; Actinopteri; Synbranchiformes; Synbranchidae
Exons: 3
Source: RefSeq, a predicted model, not a curated record
UACUGUGAUGGCACCUACUACCAGGAAAACAGACUUCUCUCAGAAAAGGGUCAGAAAUUAUCAGUCAUUCUCUAUGUUGAUGAUUUUGAAAUUGCAAACCCUCUAGGCACAUCAAAGAAAAUACACAAAGUAUGUGCGGUUUAUUGGACAUUAGCUAACCUUCCAGUAAAGUACCGCUCAGUCCUACACUCCACUCAGUUAGCCCUUCUGUGCAAUUCAAAUGAUGUACGUUACUUUGGAUAUGCUAAAGUUUUUGCACCACUCUUGAAAGACUUAAACAUACUUGAAAAAGAUGGUGUCUACAUUGAAACACUCAGUGACUGUCUCAAAGGAACAGUCUACGCUGUUGUGGCUGCAUAUCUGGCCGCACAUGGAUUGGAUGGUUUCAAUGAGAGUUUCAGGUCUACAUAUUUCUGCAGAUUUUGCCUUGCCACACAGACGGACAUACAAACAUCAGAUGCAGUCAAUGGCCAUUUUGAGAUGAGAACCAAAGAGAUGCAUGAUGACCUCAUACACAAAAUACAGAACAAUGACAGUGAAGAAAGUUAUGGUGUAAAACACAGUUGUGUUCUCUCUGACCAUCUCUCUUAUUUUCAUCCAAUCACAGGUUUUCCACCAGACAUCCUGCAUGACCUCUUUGAAGGUGUGGUUCCUGUUGAGCUGGCCCAUUGUCUGAAAGUGUCCAACUAAAAAAGCGGCACCACAGAGAGCAGCACUCCUCAGCCUUGACCUGAAGGAGGUGAAAGAUCUGCCUGGACUUUACUAUAAAAACUGGGGAUCCCCUUCUUUCUGGACACUGGACAACAAUUGAAGAUUAUCCCAAUACAGAGUAAAUGGAAGCGAGUGCUGUUUUGAAACUACG